Molecule: transfer RNA, 55 nt
Filed under: Meloidogyne javanica (root-knot nematode)
Lineage: Eukaryota; Metazoa; Nematoda; Chromadorea; Rhabditida; Meloidogynidae
Also listed under: 3 other names
Description: tRNA-Thr
Source: RNAcentral
CUUCUAAUAAUUUAUUAAGAAUAUUAAUUUUGUAAUUUAAAGGAAAAUUAGGAUU